CCAGCUGUUCUGGCCGAGCGUGCAUCUCCCAUUGCCAUUGCACAGAUCGGGGCAGCCAUCUGGUUGAAGAAAUGAGGAAGGUAUUUUAAAAGCACCGAGGAACUAAUGGGCACCCUACCAGAGUGUGGAUAAUCUUUUCAUCAGCACAGAUGCAGAUGUGCAGUACUGGAGAAAGACCAAGAUGACAGGAAGUCACCUCUGUGCCCCUUGGCCUCUGCAGCAGCCUUGGCCAUAACCAGGUGAUGUUAGAGAGAAGUUCCUCUGACCCCGUACUGGUUUCCACAGUGCCACAGGAGGCUCCCUUGUGGGAAAGCGAGCUGCCUCGUAUCCCUGCUAUUCACAACUGGUAUCACAAGAGAUGAUCACGUGAAAAUUAUUUCAAAUGUGAACCGGCACAAGCAAGGUAGUUGAACAAAACACAUGGUGCGCAGAAGGACACUGCUGCAGCCGAAAAGCUACAGAAGAGCUGCAUGGAUUUGUCAUCGCCUGAGAAUAUUAUUUGCAUGAUUUUGAACAAGAGCUAAAACAUGACACUAGCAGCAUAUUCUAAUUAUACAAUGUACUCUUUUCAAACAAGAUUCACAUUCAGCCCAUAUUCAUAUAUCCAAAAAAAAGAUACAUAAAAAUGCAGUAAAAUUUGUACUUAAGAUAACUGGGUCUUUCGAAUUAAUCUUACCGUAACAAAAUCCAUUUGGAAUAUAACACUGGAUGAAAUUGUAUUCAUAAAACAAGUACCAUAUCCAUAAUUUUUUAUUGCAUUAAUGUUUCUGAUAUGGGGUACAAGGGUUUGGUAUCAUUCUUUGUAAAAUGUAGUAUCAUUUCUAGAGAAAGAAGCCUUCUCAAGUUAGGUUUAUUGCUAAACUAACAUCUAUAUAUGGGCAGCGUAAUGAUAAAAUGACCUAACAGACGGGAUGUGUAAAUUCAGUCAAUUGAAGAGUAACAAGCAAAACAUUGACCUCAUAUUUAAAAGAGCAGAUAACCUAAUUAAAAUGUAAUAGUUAAAAUCCCUACAUUAAUCUCAGUACUAUGGCAAGGAUUUUGAGUCAUUCAUUCAUAAAAGUUAGGAUUCACAUAUUAAUUGCUACUCAACGUCCUCACACACACUGUAAUUUGCUUUUUAUUAGAAAUAUGUGGUUGCCAUGUAUUUGUACAG
Long non-coding RNA from Cygnus olor (mute swan), 1153 nucleotides. RefSeq lists it as uncharacterized. The transcript is spliced from 5 exons. The record is from RefSeq and is a predicted model, not a curated record. NCBI's taxonomy places the organism in Eukaryota, Metazoa, Chordata, Aves, Anseriformes, Anatidae.